GCGUCUGUAGUUAAGAGGUUUAAUACCUGCCUUCCAAGCAGGGGACGCCAGUUCGAAUCUGGCCGGACGCUCCA
Molecule: transfer RNA, 74 nt
Filed under: Serratia fonticola
Lineage: Bacteria; Pseudomonadati; Pseudomonadota; Gammaproteobacteria; Enterobacterales; Yersiniaceae
Description: tRNA-Gly
Rfam family: tRNA
About the family: Transfer RNA (tRNA) molecules are approximately 80 nucleotides in length.
Source: RNAcentral